RNAcentral lists this ribosomal RNA (253 nucleotides) under uncultured prokaryote. RNAcentral describes it as "partial 16S ribosomal RNA". It matches the Rfam family "Bacterial small subunit ribosomal RNA", at positions 525 to 777 of the family's 1533-position model. The record is from RNAcentral.
ACGUAGGGUGCAAGCGUUAAUCGGAAUUACUGGGCGUAAAGCGUGCGCAGGCGGUUUCGUAAGUCUGUCGUGAAAUCCCCGGGCUUAACCUGGGAAUGGCGAUGGAGACUGCGAGGCUAGAGUUUGGCAGAGGGGGGUAGAAUUCCACGUGUAGCAGUGAAAUGCGUAGAUAUCGGGAGGAACAUCCGUGGCGAAGGCGGCCACCUGGACCAGCACUGACACUGAGGCACGAAAGCGUGGGGAGCAAACAGGA